GAUUCAGUAGCUCAGCCGGUAGAGCACAACACUUUUAAUGUUGGGGUCCUGGGUUCGAGUCCCAGCCCCAGCUGGAUCACAA
This 82-nucleotide transfer RNA is filed under the name Butyricimonas synergistica. RNAcentral's name for it is "tRNA-Lys". It matches the Rfam family "tRNA". Rfam says of the family: Transfer RNA (tRNA) molecules are approximately 80 nucleotides in length. Lineage: Bacteria; Pseudomonadati; Bacteroidota; Bacteroidia; Bacteroidales; Odoribacteraceae. The record is from RNAcentral.